GACGAACGCUGGCGGCGUGCUUAACACAUGCAAGUCGAACGGUGAUGGCCAGCUUGCUGGUCUGAUCAGUGGCGAACGGGUGAGUAACACGUGAGCAACCUGCCCCUCACUUCGGGAUAAGCCUUGGAAACGGGGUCUAAUACCGGAUAUGACACACCUGCGCAUGCGGAGUGUGUGGAAAGUUUUUCGGUGGGGGAUGGGCUCGCGGCCUAUCAGCUUGUUGGUGGGGUGAUGGCCUACCAAGGCGACGACGGGUAGCCGGCCUGAGAGGGGGACCGGCCACACUGGGACUGAGACACGGCCCAGACUCCUACGGGAGGCAGCAGUGGGGAAUAUUGCACAAUGGGCGAAAGCCUGAUGCAGCGACGCCGCGUGAGGGAUGAAGGCCUUCGGGUUGUAAACCUCUUUCGGCAGGGAAGAAGCGAAAGUGACGGUACCUGCAGAAGAAGCGCCGGCUAACUACGUGCCAGCAGCCGCCGUAAUAC
This 485-nucleotide ribosomal RNA is filed under the name uncultured bacterium. RNAcentral's name for it is "bacterial SSU rRNA". It matches the Rfam family "Bacterial small subunit ribosomal RNA", at positions 28 to 526 of the family's 1533-position model. The record is from RNAcentral.